GGAGAAUUAGCUCAAGUGGUAGAGUGCUUGUUUAGCAUGCAAGAGGUAGUGGGAUCAAUACCCACAUUCUCCA
This 73-nucleotide transfer RNA is filed under the name Pelodiscus sinensis (Chinese soft-shelled turtle). It matches the Rfam family "tRNA". From Rfam's summary of the family: Transfer RNA (tRNA) molecules are approximately 80 nucleotides in length. Their secondary structure includes four short double-helical elements and three loops (D, anti-codon, and T loops). Lineage: Eukaryota; Metazoa; Chordata; Testudines; Trionychidae. The record is from Rfam by way of RNAcentral.